UACGUAGGGGGCAAGCGUUGUCCGGAUUUAUUGGGCGUAAAGAGCUCGUAGGCGGUUCCGUAAGUCGAGUGUGAAAAAUCUGGGCUCAACCCAGUGGAGCACUCGAUACUGCGGUGACUGGAGUACGGUAGAGGAGUGUGGAAUUCCCGGUGUAGAGGUGAAAUUCGUAGAUAUCGGGAGGAACACCAGUGGCGAAGGCGGCGAUCUGGGUCGAUACUGACGCUGAGGUGCGAAAGCGUGGGGAGCAAACAGG
Molecule: ribosomal RNA, 253 nt
Filed under: uncultured bacterium
Lineage: Bacteria
Description: partial 16S ribosomal RNA
Rfam family: Bacterial small subunit ribosomal RNA
Source: RNAcentral